UACGGAGGAUGCGAGCGUUAUCCGGAUUUAUUGGGUUUAAAGGGUGCGCAGGCGGCGUGUCAAGUCAGCGGUAAAAUGUCGGGGCUCAACCCCGGCCGGCCGUUGAAACUGGCGUGCUCGAGUUGGAGAGAAGUAUGCGGAAUUCGUGGUGUAGCGGUGAAAUGCAUAGAUAUCACGAAGAACCCCGAUUGCGUAGGCAGCAUACCGGCUCCACACUGACGCUGAGGCACGAAAGCGUGGGUAUCGAGCAGG
Molecule: ribosomal RNA, 252 nt
Filed under: uncultured bacterium
Lineage: Bacteria
Description: partial 16S ribosomal RNA
Rfam family: Bacterial small subunit ribosomal RNA
Source: RNAcentral